GGGAGUACGGCCGCAAGGCUAAAACUCAAAUGAAUUGACGGGGACCCGCACAAGCGGUGGAGCAUGUGGUUUAAUUCGAUGCAACGCGAAAAACCUUACCUACACUUGACAUACUUUGAAUUUUUUAGAGAUAAAAAAGUGCCUUCGGGAACGAAGAUACAGGUGCUGCAUGGCUGUCGUCAGCUCGUGUCGUGAGAUGUUGGGUUAAGUCCUAUAACGAGCGCAACCCUUACCCUUAUUUGCCAGCGGUUCGGCCGGGAACUAUAAGGGAACUGCCGGUAAUAAGCCGGAGGAAGGUGGGGACGACGUCAAGUCAUCAUGGCCCUUACGUGUAGGGCUACACACGUGCUACAAUGGGAGAUACAGACGGUUGCGAAAGCGCGAGCUGGAGCUAAUCUGAGAAAGUCUCUCGUAGUCCGAAUUGCAGUCUGGAACUCGACUGCAUGAAGCCGGAAUCGCUAGUAAUCGCGGAUCAGCAUGCCGCGGUGAAUACGUUCUCGGGUCUUGUACACACCGCCCGUCACACCAUGGGAGUGAAUUGCACCAGAAGUAGAUAGCUUAACCUUCGGGAUGGCGUUUACCACGGUGUGGUCCAUGACUGGGGUGAAGUCGUAACAAGGUA
Molecule: ribosomal RNA, 622 nt
Filed under: uncultured marine bacterium
Lineage: Bacteria
Description: bacterial SSU rRNA
Rfam family: Bacterial small subunit ribosomal RNA
Source: RNAcentral